UACGAAGGGGGCUAGCGUUGUUCGGAAUUACUGGGCGUAAAGCGCGUGUAGGCGGGUCUUUAAGUCAGGGGUGAAAUGCCAAGGCUCAACCUUGGAACUGCCUUUGAUACUGGAGACCUUGAGUCCGGGAGAGGUGAGUGGAAUUGCGAGUGUAGAGGUGAAAUUCGUAGAUAUUCGCAAGAACACCAGUGGCGAAGGCGGCUCACUGGCCCGGAACUGACGCUGAGAUGCGAAAGCGUGGGAAGCAAACAGG
Molecule: ribosomal RNA, 253 nt
Filed under: uncultured bacterium
Lineage: Bacteria
Description: partial 16S ribosomal RNA
Rfam family: Bacterial small subunit ribosomal RNA
Source: RNAcentral